This 32-nucleotide non-coding RNA is filed under the name Mus musculus (house mouse). The record is from RNAcentral. Lineage: Eukaryota; Metazoa; Chordata; Mammalia; Rodentia; Muridae.
UCCNGUAGCUUCAUUCUUACCUCCUUUUACCC